UCUUAUAAAGAAUGAGACGUUUUAGGUCUUCCAUUGGAAAGUGCUUUAAGCUUUCUCUUCUCUCUACCCAUCCUUCUUUCUCACGGUCGGCUACACGCUUUCACCCACGAGCACGACGUCUCCUCCCUCAAUCUCAGAGCCCUCUCUCACAGGCACUGUCGUAGACCGUCCCCCCUCUCCCGUCGCCGAUCCUCCCUCUCUCAAUCUCGGAUCUCGUCGCAGACCCUUCUUCUCACAAUCUCAGAGCCACCCAUUAAGUUGCCCAUCUUCUCUUGAUUCUCGGCGAAAACAUAGAGCAUCCCAGGCUUGUUCUUAUCCAUUUACAUCAGGAGUGAAAUGGCUAAAAGAGAUAUCUUGGAUACAUUAAACUUUUUAUAAUUUGUGUAAAGAGUUUAUAAUUUGUGUAAUUAUGUUACAAGUUUUUUUUUCCAAAAUUAAUUAAGAACUUAUAUAACAUAAUAAAACAAUUUAGGUCCAAAGCCUAAAUUACAAUCUCAAAUAGAAUAAUAAAACUGAGAAAAAAUAGGUUCAA
Molecule: long non-coding RNA, 532 nt
Organism: Humulus lupulus (European hop)
Lineage: Eukaryota; Viridiplantae; Streptophyta; Magnoliopsida; Rosales; Cannabaceae
Exons: 2
Source: RefSeq, a predicted model, not a curated record